UUUUAAAGGGCGUAAUGGCAG
RNAcentral lists this unclassified non-coding RNA (21 nucleotides) under Mus musculus (house mouse). RNAcentral describes it as "oocyte_clustered_small_RNA4313". The record is from RNAcentral. Lineage: Eukaryota; Metazoa; Chordata; Mammalia; Rodentia; Muridae.